This 87-nucleotide transfer RNA is filed under the name Desulfobaculum xiamenense. RNAcentral's name for it is "tRNA-Leu". It matches the Rfam family "tRNA". From Rfam's summary of the family: Transfer RNA (tRNA) molecules are approximately 80 nucleotides in length. The record is from RNAcentral. Lineage: Bacteria; Pseudomonadati; Thermodesulfobacteriota; Desulfovibrionia; Desulfovibrionales; Desulfovibrionaceae.
GCCGGGGUGGUGGAAUUGGUAGACACGCUAUCUUGAGGUGGUAGUGGCCGAAAGGCCGUGGGAGUUCGAGUCUCCCCUUCGGCACCA